AUUCUACUCCCUCCGUGGCAUAAUACAUGCCUUCUAUUUGUCAAAAUAUAUAUGUAUCUAGACAUGUCUUAGUAUAUAGGUACAUCCAUUUUUGGACAAAUGGAAGUCAAGUAUUUUGGAAUGGAGGGAGUACACA
Triticum aestivum (bread wheat) is the source of this 136-nucleotide non-coding RNA. The record is from Rfam. Lineage: Eukaryota; Viridiplantae; Streptophyta; Magnoliopsida; Poales; Poaceae.